This 779-nucleotide ribosomal RNA is filed under the name uncultured Burkholderia sp. Its description in RNAcentral is "bacterial SSU rRNA". It matches the Rfam family "Bacterial small subunit ribosomal RNA", at positions 558 to 1341 of the family's 1533-position model. The record is from RNAcentral. Lineage: Bacteria; Pseudomonadati; Pseudomonadota; Betaproteobacteria; Burkholderiales; Burkholderiaceae.
GCGUAAAGCGUGCGCAGGCGGUCCGCUAAGACAGAUGUGAAAUCCCCGGGCUUAACCUGGGAACUGCAUUUGUGACUGGCGGGCUAGAGUAUGGCAGAGGGGGGUAGAAUUCCACGUGUAGCAGUGAAAUACGUAGAGAUGUGGAGGAAUACCGAUGGCGAAGGCAGCCCCCUGGGCCAAUACUGACGCUCAUGCACGAAAGCGUGGGGAGCAAACAGGAUUAGAUACCCUGGUAGUCCACGCCCUAAACGAUGUCAACUAGUUGUCGGGUCUUCAUUGACUUGGUAACGUAGCUAACGCGUGAAGUUGACCGCCUGGGGAGUACGGUCGCAAGAUUAAAACUCAAAGGAGUUGACGGGGACCCGCACAAGCGGUGGAUGAUGUGGAUUAAUUCGAUGCAACGCGAAAAACCUUACCUACCCUUGACAUGUAUGGAAUCCUGCUGAGGGGUGGGAGUGCCCGAAAGGGAGCCAUAACACAGGUGCUGCAUGGCUGUCGUCAGCUCGUGCCGUGAGAUGUUGGGUUAAGUCCCGCAACGAGCGCAACCCUUGUCCCUAGUUGCUACGCAAGAGCACUCUAGGGAGACUGCCGGUGACAAACCNGGAGGAAGGUGGGGAUGACGUCAAGUCCUCAUGGCCCUUAUGGGUAGGGCUUCACACGUCAUACAAUGGUCGGAACAGAGGGUCGCCAACCCGCGAGGGGGAGCCAAUCCCAGAAAACCGAUCGUAGUCCGGAUCGCACUCUGCAACUCGAGUGCGUGAAGCUGGAAUCGCUAGUAA